CAUUUGUGACAACAUGGAUGGACCUAGAGGGUAUAAUACGAAGUAAAAUAAGUCAGAGAAACAACAUAUAAUUUCACUUACAUGUGGCAUUAAAGAACUAAACAAACAGACAUAGAUAUGGAGAAUAAACUGCUGGAUGUCAGAUAGGAGGAGGGCUGGCUGGGUGAAAAAGGGUAUAGGAAUUAAGAAGUACAAAUUGGUAGUUAUAAAACAGUCAUGGGGAUGUAAAGUACAGCAUAGGGAAUAUAUCAAUAAUACUGUAAUAACUGUGUAGUGCUAGGUGGGUACUAAUCGGGAUCGCUUCAUAAAUUACAUAAAUGUCUAACCACAGUACUAUGAAACUAACAUAAUAAUGGAUGUCAACUGUAAUGUGAAAAAAAUUUUUAAGUGUGUGUUUCAUUGGCUAGCUGUCUGUUUUGUGGAUAAAGUUUUAUUGGAACACAGCCACACUCAUUUGUUUAUGAUUGUCUAUGGCUACUUUUACACUACAGCAGAGAUGAAUUGUUCUGACAAUGACUGGACCAUAAACCUAAAAUAUUUUACUAUCUAGUCCUUUAAGAAAACGUUUGCUGGCCCCUGGUUUAUAGAAUUCUUUUUCAAACAUUAGAAAGCAUUCAAAUCAUUUUCGGAUCUUAAGAUUCAGAUCUCAUUCAAAAGGUCUGAUGUGAAACCUUAGAUUCUGUGUUUCUAAGAAGCUCUAGGUGAUGCCAGUGCAGCUGGCUGUCAUGGCACACUUUGAGUAGCAUGGGCUUAAGGUAUAUAAUAAUCUAUGUUGCUAGAGCUAGUUCUUAACCUGGAGAAAUUUUGCCCCACAGGAACAUUUAGCAAUUUCUGGAGACUUUUUGUGUUGUAACAACUGGGAGGACAUAGUAUUAGCCUCUACUGGAUAAAGGCCACGAUGGUAUCCUACAAAGUACAGGACAGACAGUUAAAACAAAUAAGCCAGCCCAAUGUGCCAACAGUGAUGCUAUCAGGAAACCCUGCAUUAUAAGCAGUGAACAGCCUUGAAUGCACAUUAGAAUCAAUUAGGAAGCUAUGAAAAAUGUGAACACCCCUUCUACUUCUGGCUGUAACAGGUAUAAGACCUCACUUCCUGCCAUGAAAACCCAUGAAAUAAAUACAAUAAUAAAAGCAGGCAAAAUAUACAUAGCAAUUUAUCAGGCAGAGAAAACAAACAAGGCUGUGAUUCUUGAGGAAAGGAAAACACAGACCCCAGAAAGGCUACAAUUCACGAUGAUACUCACUUGAGACCAGCCCCCAAAAGUUUAAACAGAAUUCAGCACAUGAUCAAGUUGAACCACCAAUAAAUUAACUGCCCACCAGGACAAAACACUCUUUAAAGGAAUAUAAUAAAAUCUGAAUUUCAAGAACUUAGCAUCCACAGUGUUCAACAUACAAUAAAACUUUACUACUCAUAAGCAGGAAAAUGUUAUCCACAACUAGGAGAAAAAACAAUAAAAAUAGACUCAGAUGUUACCCAGAUGGUAGAAUUAUCAAAUAAGAACAAUAAAACAUCUAUAUAAAUAUGUUCAAGGACUUAGAGAAAAAGUUAAACAUAAUUAGUGAACAGAUGGACUCUCAACAGAAAAAUGGAAAAUAUAAUGCACUUCUAGAACUAAAAAGUACAAUCUAUGAAAUGAAAAAUUCACUGGACAGGUUUAAUAGCUAAUCUGACAGCCAACAAGAGGCCCAGCAAAAGAAUAUCCAAUCUGAAGUACAGCAAGAUAAAAGACUAAUCUGAAAAAUGAACAGAGCCUCAGUUAUGGUAGAAAAGGUAAGGCAUUCUAACUUGCAUGUAUUUGGAUCUUAGAGGGAUUAAAGCAGGAAACAAAGAAAUCAUAGCUGAAACUUUUCCACUUUGAUGACAAAUAACUCAGAUAAAAGAAGCUCAAUGAACCAAAAAGCAAGACAACCAUCCCUAGAAAACCAGAGAUUAAAAAGCAAAUCUUAAAAGCAGCUAGAAGGGAGAUACAUUAUUAUAUACAGGGUCAAUGAAAAGAAUAAUUGCUAACAUUCUCAUCAUUAAAAACCAACCCAAGAAGAUAGGGAAGCAACAUCUUAAAAGUCCAGAACAAAAAAUUCCACACCCAAUGAGGCCUGCAGAAUGAAGGUGAGGGACAUCUUAUUAACAGGCAAGCCAGAAUAACAACAUUCUACUCUAUUCCUCUUCCUAAUUACAUCUAAAGACUAGACAAAAACGAAUAGAACAUUCUGAAAUUGUAGAAUAGAAGGCAGACUGGAUAGGCACCUCAGGAUGUGCGAAAUGACCCAGCCAUGAGUCUCUCAUUGCCAAGCCCUCUUCUUUUUAGUUCAUCCUAUGUAUCCCAGCCUAGGCCAUAAAGCAGCCUACAGUCUGAAAACAAUAUGCACAGACAAAAGGUCCAAAGGUCUACAGGGCAGAUUGACUAUACCUGUUGUACUCUAGGUGAAACCAUAAAAGAAGCUGCACGUCUCCUUCCCACCACGUGCUGUGGAGCCCUGUCAAGUAUCACCACCCUGUACUAGCCAGGGAGCACAUCUAUCCUCCCAACUGAGCACUGAGGAGACUAGAGUAGAGCCCUGUCAACCAUCCCAAUACUAACAAGGCAGUAUCCUGUCUCACUGGGUGUUAUGGCAAUUAUGAGAGAGGUGGCACCCCUCCCUCCCUACCAGGUACUUACUAUAGGGACUACCGCGCAGAGCCUUGUAAACUGUCCUUCUCUGCACUAACAGGCAGAAGCAACGCCUCCUGCAGCAGACCAGACCCUGUGGAGACCGAGGGGUAGAGUCCUACUGACCAUGCCUGCCUUGCAUUAAGCAAAGAGCAAAGAGACAGCAACCUUCAAACACUGGGGAGGAUCCCUACUGACCAUCACUGCCGUGUGCUAAUAAGCAAAUGAUAGCAAAAGAGGCAAUAGCCCACACCCUCCUAACUAGAAAACUCUCCUCUAAGUAAUUAGUAGAACUACUAGAGAAAAUUAGCAAGACUAUAGAAGAAACUGAUGAUACCACAAACCAAUGAGAUCUGAUAUAUAGGACUCCACCACAAAACAAGGGAAAUACGUGUUCUUUUCAACUGUAACUGCAACAUUCACCGAGAGAUCAUUAUCCUGGGUCAUAAAAUAAACCUUAAAUUUAAAACAAAAUUAUACAAAGUAUGUUCUCAGACAAUAAUAUAAAUUAUAAAUCGAUAACAGAAAUCUUCAAAUACUUAGAAAUGAAACAACACACUUCUGAUAGCCAGGGCAUCACAAAAAAUGUCUCAAGUACAAAAUGUCUCGAACUAUACAAAAUAAAAAUACAAUAUAUAAGCAUUCAUGGGAUGCAGUUAAAAUGGGGCUUAGCAAGACAUUUAUAACAUUAAAUGUUCAUAUUAUAAAAAAGUGAAGGGCUGAGAUCAAUAGCUUAACUUACCUAAACUAGAAAAAGGAAAAUAAAUCAAAAUCAAGCUGAAGGAAAGAAUAAGGAAAUCUCCAAGCACUUGAAAAUUUAAAAGCACUUUUAUGAAUAGGUCUAAGAAACCCAUGAGAAACUUAAAAAUAUAUUGAACUGAAUGAAAAUAUCAAAAUAUGUGGGACACGGCUAACACUAUCUAGAAAGGAAAUCUAUAAUACUAAAUACUUAUAUUGGAAAAGAAAAGUCUCAGUUCAAUAAUUGAGACUUAAGUCUCUACCUCAAGAAACUAGAAAAAGAAUAUAAAUUCAAGAGCAGAAAUCAAUGAAAUUGACAACAGAAAAAUAGAGAAAAAAACAAACAAACAAAAGAUGGUUCUGCAAAAAGAUGAAUAAAAUUGAUAAACCAGACCCCCCCAAAAAAGAGAAAACAACUAGUCAAUAUCUAGGAUGAAAGAAAUAUUACUAUAGAUCCCAUGGAUAUUUAAAGGAUUUAAAUAAGGGAAUACUGUGAACAGUUCUUAAAAACGACAGUUCAGACGAAAUGGACCACAAAUUAUCAAAAGCAACUCAAGAUGAAAUAUAUUAGGAGUUGGUAAACUGGUCAGCAGGCCAUAUCAAGUACACCACCUGCACCUGUUUUGUACAGUCUACCAACUAAGAACAGUUUUUACUGUUCUUUUUAAAUGGUAGGGGGAAAAAGUUGUGACACUUGAGAAUUAUAUGGAAUUCAAAUUUCAGUGCCGUAAUUUAAGUUUUGUUGGAACUCAGCUAUACUCAUUUGUUUACGUAGUGUUAUGAUGCUUUUGUGCAACAAUUCAGAGAUGAAUAGUUGUGACAGAGACCACAGAACCUAUAAAACCUGUAUAUUUACUAUCUGGCUCAUUACAGAAAAGUGUGCCAACUCCUGAAAUAGAUAAUCUGAACAUUUUUAUUUUUAGUAAAGGAAUUUAAUUCAUAGUUAAAAAGAAAAGAAGUUUCCAGGCCCAGAUGGUUUCACUGGAGAAUUCUCCAAAACAUCUUUAAAAGAAACACCACCAAUUCUACUCAUUCUCUUCUAGAAAUUAGAUGAAGGAAAACCUCAUUUCUGUGAAGCCAGCAUUAUCCUGAUACCAAAACCAGACGGAGACAAUAGAAUAAAAACUACAGCUCAGUGGUCCUCAUAAACAUAUGUAAAAUAUCUUCAACAAAAUACCAGCAAACUGAAUCCAGCAACAUGAAAAGAAUAAUGUAUCAUGCCCACGUGAGUCUAUUUGAGAAAUGUAAGAUUAGUGCAAUAUUCAAACACCAAUCAAUGUCAUCCACCAUGUUUACAGUAAAGAUGAAAAAUCAUAUGAUUUCACAUGUUGAUGCCACAUCCAUACUUCAGAAUACUACUUAGCAAUAAAAAGGAACGAACUGUUGAUACAUGCAAAACACAGAUCUCAAGGGCAUUAUGGUGAAUGAAAUAAAGCCCAUCUCAAUAAGUUACAUAGUAUGUAAUAUGAUUUAUAAGAGAUGCUCAAAAUGGCAAAAUUACAGAGCUACAGAACAGACCAGUGCUUUCAAGGGUUUAGGAUUAGGGGGUAUUGUCACUAUAAAGCAGUAUAAGGGAGUUUCUCUGUGGUCAUGGAACAGUUAGGACAAUUGAGGUGUCUACUCAAUAUGUGUAAUUAAGUGUGAUGGAACACACACACACAUAAAAACUGGUGACCAAAUAAGGUCUGUAUUUUGAAGUAAACCAAUGUCAACUCCAGGUUUUGAAAAUUAUACCAUGGUUAUAGAAGAUGAUUUAAUUGGGGGAAGCGACUGAAGCGUACAGGGGAGUUUUCUAUUUUUGCAAUUUGAGUCUAUAAUUACUUCAAAAUAAAAUGCUAAAAAAAUUAAUUCAGAAAUAUAGUUCCAGCUUUCUCCACACCAGAGAAAAAGGUGAAAUGAAGAUAUUUUCAGACAGACAAAAGGUGAGAGAAUUAGUCUCCAGGAAAUCUACACUGCAAUAAUUGUUAAAGAAAUUUCUUUAGGCUGAAGGGAAAUGAUGUCAAAUGUAAACUCAGAUUACUGAAGGUCUGAAGAAUUCCAACGACAGUAAAGAUGGGCAUGUUAAAGACUUUCCCAUCUUUUUCAAUUUCUCUGGAGGAAAAAUGACUUUAAAGCACAAUAAUAACUGCAUUAUGGAAUUAUAAAUGUAAAAGCAAAAUAUAUGACAGUAGUACAAAGGAUGGAGGGAUAGAUGGAAAUACGUUUUUGUAAGGUUCUAAUAUUAUAUGUGAAGUGGUAAUACUAACUCAGGGCGGACUGUGAUAAGUUAAAGGUGCACAUUAUAAUUUCUAGAGCUGUGCUAACACAGUGGCCACCAGCUACAUAUGACUCGAACACUGGAAAUGUGGCUAGUCCAAAUUGAGAUGUGCUGUUAGUGUAAAACACACCAGAGUUUGAAGACUUGAUAUGAUAAAAAUAUAAAAUAUCUCAAAAAAAUUUUUGUAAUAAAACAUUGCAACAUUUUGAA
Pteropus alecto (black flying fox) is the source of this 5856-nucleotide long non-coding RNA. RefSeq lists it as uncharacterized. NCBI's taxonomy places the organism in Eukaryota, Metazoa, Chordata, Mammalia, Chiroptera, Pteropodidae. The record is from RefSeq and is a predicted model, not a curated record. The transcript has 2 exons.